This 253-nucleotide ribosomal RNA is filed under the name uncultured bacterium. RNAcentral describes it as "partial 16S ribosomal RNA". It matches the Rfam family "Bacterial small subunit ribosomal RNA", at positions 524 to 776 of the family's 1533-position model. The record is from RNAcentral.
UACGAAGGUGGCAAGCGUUGUUCGGAUUUACUGGGCGUAAAGAGUGCGUAGGCGGUUUGACAAGUCAGGAGUGAAAGCCCAAGGCUCAACCUUGGAAUUGCUUUUGAAACUGUCUAACUUGAAUCCGGUAGAGGUUGGCGGAAUUCCCAGUGUAGAGGUGAAAUUCGCAGAUAUUGGGAGGAACACCAGUGGCGUAAGCGGCCAACUGGACCGGUUUUGACGCUGAGGCACGAAAGCAUGGGGAGCAAACAGG